Molecule: ribosomal RNA, 253 nt
Filed under: uncultured bacterium
Lineage: Bacteria
Description: partial 16S ribosomal RNA
Rfam family: Bacterial small subunit ribosomal RNA
Source: RNAcentral
UACGAAGGGGGCUAGCGUUGCUCGGAAUUACUGGGCGUAAAGCGCACGUAGGCGGAUUGUUAAGUCGGUGGUGAAAUCCUGGAGCUCAACUCCAGAACUGCCUUCGAAACUGGCAAUCUUGAGUCCGGGAGAGGUGAGUGGAACUGCGAGUGUAGAGGUGAAAUUCGUAGAUAUUCGCAAGAACACCAGUGGCGAAGGCGGCUCACUGGCCCGGUACUGACGCUGAGGUGCGAAAGCGUGGGGAGCAAACAGG